Molecule: ribosomal RNA, 450 nt
Filed under: uncultured bacterium
Lineage: Bacteria
Description: bacterial SSU rRNA
Rfam family: Bacterial small subunit ribosomal RNA
Source: RNAcentral
UCGGGAAUUUUGGGCAAUGGGCGAAAGCCUGACCCAGCAACGCCGCGUGAUGGACGAAGUGCUUCGGCACGUAAACAUCUUUUAUGUGGGAUGAAAUUAUUGACAGUACCACAUGAAUAAGGGGCUCCUAACUCUGUGCCAGCAGGAGCGGUAAUACAGAGGCCCCAAGCGUUAUCCGGAAUCACUGGGCGUAAAGGGUGUCGAGGCGGUUGUAUUAGUCGUUCGUAAAAUCUACGAGCUUAACUUGUAGGCGGCGAACGAAACGGUACGACUUGAGGUUUGGAGAGGUGCGUGGAACUCACGGUGUAGGGGUGAAAUCCGUUGAUAUCGUGGGGAACACCAAAGGCGAAGGCAGCGCACUGGCCAAAAUCUGACGCUCACACACGAAAGCUAGGGUAGCGAAGAGGAUUAGAUACCCCAGUAGUCCCUGAGCGGGCUGGCAAGGCGCAU